UUUGAUUUCAGGGUGUGGCCUCAGGUAGGACAUAGCGAACGCAGAACAAGGGAAAAAUCGCGCAGGGGUGCAGGGGCAGCAAGGCAAGGAGCCCCGCUGCCGAAGGGACGACCCUUGCCCAGUGCUUUCUCUCCAACCUCUUGGCUCCAGCUCCCACCGACCCUGACACGGCCGCUCCCAUAGCUGUCUGCCCGCCACGCAAAGACCCGACCUGGAUUAUCCGCUGAGCACCGGCUGGUAAUUAACUCAUUAAUUUAUCUUGCAGAUGCACGCUGUGGAGCCGCAGGCCCACUCUUUGGGACCUAAGAGGUGCCGUGGGUGCCACCCACACAUCCUGGAGAGCCCAAGCUGCAAUCCUAAAACCUGGCACCUUGGCCUGUCUGCCCCAUUCUGAAUUGUUCUGGGAUAACCGCCUUGUACAGGCAGAAGGGCAGGAUUUAAAGGGAUGCAAUUCCCCAUCACACCUUGUUUAGUCCUGACAAUGCUCUGGCCUCUGGAUUCCAGGGUGGGAUACUUUGGGGGACUGAAAGCAUCAUAGGAGCACAGAAUCCUGAAACAGAGGAAGGGGUUCAUACAAAACCUCUCCGUUUCUGUUCCAGAGCCAGCAUCCCCUCCUUGUACCCAGCAAUGCCCUGGUUUAAGUUCAGGAUGGCAUUUCCAGUGACUCAUUCCUGACUUCCCAUUUGGGGUAGGUUGGGACAGGUUACCCUGCUUCUUUGGGACAGAGGAUAGAUUUUAUGUUGAGCAAAGGGGCUGGGACCACUUGUCUGUGUCUAAUCCAACAAGGAAGUGAGAAGACUCUUAUUGUCCUCGACUUGGGCCCCUAGAGAGGGCUGCUGGCUGAGUGCUGAGGGGAUUCUGGCUUGGAAAUUCAGUACAUCUGGACCCCAAAUGGCUGCCUUCAAGUGGUGGCUGGGUAACUGCCAGUGUCAGUGUGGGGAUUUUUUUUUUGUAGUUAGGAUUGAAUCUUGGGGUGCUUAACCACUGAGCUACAUCCCCAGUCCCGUGUUGUUUUGAGUCAGGAUUUUGAGACAGGGUCACACUAAGUUGCCUACCACCUCUGUAAGUUGCUUGGCUGACCUUGAAUUUGGGAUUCUCCUGCUUCAGCCUUCUGAGUUUCUGGGAUUACAGGCACCAAUGUGCCCAGUGAUUUUUUUUUUAAGCCCUUAUUGGUUACCUCAGAUUUAAAUUAUUGAGGUCACUAUUCCCACAUAGUUUUGUUCACUGAUUCUUUGACUAGGACAAUGCUAUUUGUGGAUAAAUCAUUACAUUGUGGGCCCUAUUGCUAUGCAUAGUUUAAGACUUCCACCAAAUAGAAGGUUAUCCAUGGGAAUUCACCAGUCACUAACCAGUCUGUACUCCAUAUCUUUCUACACCAGAAGCUCUGAUGCCCUCAGCUUCCCUAGGGAAGGCUUUGUGCCAGGUAACAUUUCCUGGUCCUGUGUUCUAAGGAGGGCACCCCAACACAGAGAUGGACAUUUAAUUUCCAUUCUUCUUUCCUUACUGUAUCUCCUUCUCCUCUCCUCUGUGUCUUUUCCAGGUGGAUUCUUUUUCUUUCUUUUUUAAGUUGUCAAUGGACCUUUAUUUUAUGUAUCUAUUUGCAGUGCUAAGAAUGAAAUCCAGUGCCUCACACAAGCUAAGCAAACACACUGCUAUUGAGCCACAACUCCAGCCGGCAAGGUGUAUUCUUUUUCUUUCCUCUGACUGGACACUGUUGGCUGAUUCUGUUAGACAAACCAUGACCUCUGGUGGCUGCCCAGGAAGCUGACUACUGAGUUAAGGAUGGGACCUUAACUCAGUAGUUAAGGUCCAUGCAAGGAGGACAGGGCAGGUGGUACAAGUAUGGCUUUCCCCACAUAUUAGUUAUCCAGGAACAUGGAUGUGGUGGUCUAAUACUGACUUCAAGAAUUUGGAUGUGCUGUAUAGAGGGAGGAAGUAGAGAUUAGUUGCUAAGAAUUCAAAAUGAACCACAAACCAAAGUUAGAAUGAAAUGCAUUAUGUGAUUGAAUUUAGAAUCAACACCCUAAAUUACUUUAUAGUGACUCACAAAUGUACAUGUGAACUUUUUUUUUAAUAUAGAUGCCUAUGUACCAAAACCACAGUUCCAAGCACUACCUUUGAACUAUUAAAACUACAGUAAGUGUGAAUAUUAUUAAAAAUGAAC
This 2164-nucleotide long non-coding RNA is filed under the name Marmota monax (woodchuck). Lineage: Eukaryota; Metazoa; Chordata; Mammalia; Rodentia; Sciuridae. The record is from RNAcentral.